Molecule: ribosomal RNA, 845 nt
Filed under: uncultured Cryobacterium sp.
Lineage: Bacteria; Bacillati; Actinomycetota; Actinomycetes; Micrococcales; Microbacteriaceae
Description: bacterial SSU rRNA
Rfam family: Bacterial small subunit ribosomal RNA
Source: RNAcentral
GAAUUAUUGGGCGUAAAGAGCUCGUAGGCGGUUUGUCGCGUCUGCUGUGAAAAUCCGAGGCUCAACCUCGGGCCUGCAGUGGGUACGGGCAGGCUAGAGUGCAGUAGGGGAGAUUGGAAUUCCUGGUGUAGCGGUGGAAUGCGCAGAUAUCAGGAGGAACACCAAUGGCGAAGGCAGAUCUCUGGGCCGUAACUGACGCUGAGGAGCGAAAGCAUGGGGAGCGAACAGGAUUAGAUACCCUGGUAGUCCAUGCCGUAAACGUUGGGAACUAGAUGUGGGGACCAUUCCACGGUCUCCGUGUCGCAGCUAACGCAUUAAGUUCCCCGCCUGGGGAGUACGGCCGCAAGGCUAAAACUCAAAGGAAUUGACGGGGGCCGCACAAGCGGCGGAGCAUGCGGAUUAAUUCGAUGCAACGCGAAGAACCUUACCAAGGCUUGACAUAUACCGGAAACGGCUGGAAACAGUCGCCCCGCAAGGUCGGUAUACAGGUGGUGCAUGGUUGUCGUCAGCUCGUGUCGUGAGAUGUUGGGUUAAGUCCCGCAACGAGCGCAACCCUCGUCCUAUGUUGCCAGCACGUAAUGGUGGGAACUCAUGGGAUACUGCCGGGGUCAACUCGGAGGAAGGUGGGGAUGACGUCAAAUCAUCAUGCCCCUUAUGUCUUGGGCUUCACGCAUGCUACAAUGGCCGGUACAAAGGGCUGCGAUACCGCAAGGUGGAGCGAAUCCCAAAAAGCCGGUCUCAGUUCGGAUUGAGGUCUGCAACUCGACCUCAUGAAGUCGGAGUCGCUAGUAAUCGCAGAUCAGCAACGCUGCGGUGAAUACGUUCCCGGGCCUUGUACACACCGC